RNAcentral lists this non-coding RNA (22 nucleotides) under Arabidopsis thaliana (thale cress). The record is from RNAcentral. Lineage: Eukaryota; Viridiplantae; Streptophyta; Magnoliopsida; Brassicales; Brassicaceae.
GAAGUGUAUGAUCGGUGCAGAU